UCUCCAACUUGAGCCUGAUUUAGCCCUGUCCCUUGUGCACACCAGCUGCUUUGUCAUCUCUGGUCUCUUUAGGUAUCUUCUACCAGUAUCCUUCUCCAGCCAGUCCUAGAUGUCCCCCUGAGCUCGUUGUGGAAAUCACUACCCAAGCUCUUUGAGCUUCCUACCUGCAAACCUUUCCCCCCCUCCCCAGACACCACUCUCCUUUCCAAGGUGCCCUUGUCCUGUCCCCCAUCAGUGCCCCAAUAUCUUUCCUGUUUUGCUUGUUUAGCUGGUUGCUAUUGCACCUAACUGUCCUUUUUCCUAAUCUUUGCCUCCCUCUCAAGCACAGUUUCUUUCCCUAGUCUCCCCCUGCAUUCAAAGCUUCCCUGUUUCUUGGCUCUGUCUCACACUAUUUUCCAGCCUUACUAGUACUCCUCCUCAGAUCUGUCUCCCUCCUUGCUCAUCCUAGGCAGUUCAUUAAUUUCUAAAUCCUAAUCUCCUUAUCUAGCCAACCCUGAUGACUAGCUAUGACUGCAACUCCUCACUGUUAGAUAAUCAGUUCUUGCCAGACUCUUAUUUCCUCUCCCAAUGUGUUGUUUCUACACACCUUUGUUCAGGUUAAAUGUCACUCCCUGCCCUGGUGGUGGGCAGUGUCACCAAGCCCACUGCAGGUGUAGAAGUCCAGGCUUCCCCUGUCCUAGCCCAAUGCUGGUUCCACCUGCCAUUGCUCCUGCUGCUUUGGGCUGAUGUGUGCUUGUGGUGCUGGAGCACAGUCUAGUGCUGUGCUGAGGAGGAAUUUUUGAAGGUGGAAAGAAAUAAAUCAAGGUCAAAGACUUGUAGGAUGUUAACAGAUAAUGGAGGAGAGUGGCAGAGGACUUG
Molecule: long non-coding RNA, 858 nt
Organism: Athene cunicularia (burrowing owl)
Lineage: Eukaryota; Metazoa; Chordata; Aves; Strigiformes; Strigidae
Exons: 2
Source: RefSeq, a predicted model, not a curated record